UGGGGAAUUUUCCGCAAUGGGCGAAAGCCUGACGGAGCAAUACCGCGUGAGGGAGGAAGGCUCUUGGGUCGUAAACCUCUUUUCUCAAGGAAGAAAGAUGACGGUACUUGAGGAAUAAGCAUCGGCUAACUCCGUGCCAGCAGCCGCGGUAAUACGGAGGAUGCAAGCGUUAUCCGGAAUGAUUGGGCGUAAAGGGUCCGCAGGUGGAACUGAAAGUCUGCUGUUAAAGAAUUUGGCUUAACCAGAUAAAAGCAGUGGAAACUACAGAACUAGAGUAUGGUAGGGGUAGAAGGAAUUCCUAGUGUAGCGGUGAAAUGCGUAGAUAUUAGGAAGAACACCGGUGGCGAAAGCGUUCUACUAGACCAAAACUGACACUGAGGGACGAAAGCUAGGGGAGCGAAUGGG
This 405-nucleotide ribosomal RNA is filed under the name uncultured bacterium. Its description in RNAcentral is "bacterial SSU rRNA". It matches the Rfam family "Bacterial small subunit ribosomal RNA", at positions 355 to 776 of the family's 1533-position model. The record is from RNAcentral.